Long non-coding RNA from Humulus lupulus (European hop), 384 nucleotides. RefSeq lists it as uncharacterized. The record is from RefSeq and is a predicted model, not a curated record. The transcript is spliced from 3 exons. Lineage: Eukaryota; Viridiplantae; Streptophyta; Magnoliopsida; Rosales; Cannabaceae.
CAAACCUGAUUUACCAAUACCAGCAGGGGAUCUUUCGGUAAAAUCAGCUUGGUACUUGUGCAUAUUCUAUGGAGUAGCUGGACUUUUGAUUGUUUAUUUUAACUCUGGGUUAUUCCUCACUGCUCUAUACUGCUUUAGUAUUUUGCUUGGAUGUCUUUACUCUGUCCCACCAUUCAGAUUGAAGAGAUCUCCUAUUGCAGCAUUUCUUUGUAUUGUCACGGUACGAGGUUUGGUUUUAAAUUUCAGUGUAUAUUAUGCCACGAGAGCUGCCCUUGGACUCGCAUUUGUGUGGAAGGCCCCUUUCAUUUUCAUCACAACCUUUUUUACACUGUUUGCUCUGGUCAUUGCUAUCACAAAAGAUCUUUCAGAUAUAGAGGGUGACCG